This 324-nucleotide ribosomal RNA is filed under the name uncultured eukaryote. Its description in RNAcentral is "partial 18S ribosomal RNA". It matches the Rfam family "Eukaryotic small subunit ribosomal RNA", at positions 1470 to 1796 of the family's 1831-position model. The record is from RNAcentral.
CCCUUAGAUGUCCUGGGCUGCACGCGCGCUACACUGAUGUGUCCAGUAAGCACCUAACCUCUUCCGAAAGGAACGGGUAACCUUUGCAAAGCACAUCGUGAUGGGGAUAGAUUAUUGCAAUUAUUAGUCUUGAACGAGGAAUUCCUAGUAAGCACAAGUCAUCAGCUUGUGUUGAUUACGUCCCUGCCCUUUGUACACACCGCCCGUCGCUCCUACCGAUUGAAUGUUCCGGUGAGCUCUUCGGGCUGCGCGGUCUGCAGUUUCUGCGUUCCGUGCGGAAAGUUGCGCAAACCUUAACAUUUAGAGGAAGGAGAAGUCGUAACA